RNAcentral lists this transfer RNA (100 nucleotides) under Kwoniella dejecticola CBS 10117. RNAcentral describes it as "tRNA-Gly". It matches the Rfam family "tRNA". Rfam says of the family: Transfer RNA (tRNA) molecules are approximately 80 nucleotides in length. The record is from RNAcentral. Lineage: Eukaryota; Fungi; Basidiomycota; Tremellomycetes; Tremellales; Cryptococcaceae.
ACACCGUUGGUGAAACGGUAUCAUGCACCGUUGCCAUUUGGACUCAACUUCUCUUCAAAACGGAUUCGGUGCGGCAAGGGUUCGACUCCCUUACGGUGUA